AUGGGGGACCUCAGUCCUCCGAUCACAAAAAAAAGGCCCUGAGUUCUGCCAACAACCUGAAUGAAAAUUAGGAAGACGGUCUGAGCCCCAGCCUGUGAGGCCCUCUGCCGAGAAGCCAGAUUUCUCGGCAGCUGUGAGCUGACAGGCUCCAAGAGGCUGAUUCCUGGUUUGGGGACACUUUGUCUGUGAUGAAGGUGUCUUGCAGCCACUGAGCAGAAAUGCCCGGUGAUAACCUCAUACUCUAGAGAGACGGGGCUUGCCAUCGCGUGAUCCAAAUGCAGACACCGGAUCCCGCUUCUUCCGUCGUGCUCUCGCCCAGUGCAGGCUCCUCGACACCUUGGGGGUCUGUAGAUUACUAAAAUUUCAAGAGGAUGCCCUGUGAAUACAGCUGCUUAGAAAUGUUUAGUGUUCCUUAGACACCUGAAAAGCGAAAAGGAAGUUCCCGAUGGAGAGAAGCUUAACCCGAAGGAUCAUCUGUGCCUGUAAUAAAGGUGAUGUCCUAUGAGAACUGCACUCAGAGCAAGCUCCCAACCUCAUUCACAAACAUUUAUGGAGCACCUGCUAUGUGCCAAGCAUUGUUCCAGGAGCUCCGAAUACAGCAACAAACCUUCAAGACUCAGUUCAGUUGUCACGACCCCUGGAAAGCUUUCCCACACUCCUUCAUGCCUACCUGCAGGGGGUUGUCGCCGAUCCCUCGUGGGAGUUCUCAGGUGAGCAGGCUUCGUGAGUCAAGAAGCAUCCCUGCUGCCCAGCCCGACCCUGAGGGUUAUAGCUGCCUCUCUCCUUUUCCACGACUGCCCCUCCCCAGAAAGCACAGGCCGAUGCUGUUUCUGAAGAGCCAUCCAUUCCACGACUCAGGUCUCCACACUGCCUCGUGAGGCACCUUUAAAACACUUUCGUUGUAGCCAACUUGGUAAUAUGUUGUAGUUUUCCACCUAA
This is a long non-coding RNA of Herpailurus yagouaroundi (jaguarundi), 939 nucleotides long. RefSeq lists it as uncharacterized. Lineage: Eukaryota; Metazoa; Chordata; Mammalia; Carnivora; Felidae. The record is from RefSeq and is a predicted model, not a curated record. The transcript has 6 exons.